Molecule: ribosomal RNA, 483 nt
Filed under: uncultured bacterium
Lineage: Bacteria
Description: partial 16S ribosomal RNA
Rfam family: Bacterial small subunit ribosomal RNA
Source: RNAcentral
GACGAACGCUGGCGGCGUGCUUAACACAUGCAAGUCGAACGCUGAAGCUCAGCUUUUGUUGGGUGGAUGAGUGGCGAACGGGUGAGUAACACGUGAGUAACCUGCCCCCUUCUUUGGGAUAACGCCCGGAAACGGGUGCUAAUACUGGAUAUUCACUGGUCUUCGCAUGGGGGUUGGUGGAAAGGGUUUUUCUGGUGGGGGAUGGGCUCGCGGCCUAUCAGCUUGUUGGUGGGGUGAUGGCCUGCCAAGGCUUUGACGGGUAGCCGGCCUGAGAGGGUGACCGGUCACAUUGGGACUGAGAUACGGCCCAGACUACUACGGGAGGCAGCAGUGGGGAAUAUUGCACAAUGGGCGCAAGCCUGAUGCAGCGACGCCGCGUGAGGGAUGGAGGCCUUCGGGUUGUGAACCUCUUUCGCUAAUGGUCAAGCCGCAACAAUGGUUGUGGUGAGGGUAGUGGGUAAAGAAGCGCCGGCUAACUACGUG